RNAcentral lists this long non-coding RNA (342 nucleotides) under Mytilus galloprovincialis (Mediterranean mussel). Lineage: Eukaryota; Metazoa; Mollusca; Bivalvia; Mytilida; Mytilidae. The record is from RNAcentral.
GGGUAAGGAUCUUGACCAUUUCCAAGUUCUCAAACAGAAGGGUAUACAGUGACCUCAGGGACUCCCCCUAUCUUUCAUUUGAAUUGUUAUAUUGUCCCGUACAUGAAUAUAUGGUUAAAGGGUGGCGAUCUCAACGGGUUUCAAAUUCUCAAACAGGAGGGGGUGGGGUGACCCAAGGCACUCCCCCUAUAUUUCAUCUGAUUUGUUAUAUUGUCCCAUACAUGAAUAUAUAUGGUUUAGGGGUGGGGAUCUGGACCAUUUUUAAAUUCUAAAACAGGAAGGGUGGGGUGACCCCCAGCGACUAUUCCUAUAUUUCAUUUAAUUUUUCAUAUUGUCACAAAC